AUUGAACGCUGGCGGCAUGCCUUACACAUGCAAGUCGAACGGCAGCACGGGUGCUUGCACCUGGUGGCGAGUGGCGAACGGGUGAGUAAUACAUCGGAACGUACCUUAUCGUGGGGGAUAACGCAGCGAAAGCUGUGCAAAUACCGCAUACGCACUGAGGGGGAAAGCGGGGGAUCGCAAGACCUCGCGCGAUUAGAGCGGCCGAUGCCUGAUUAGGUUGUUGAUGGGGUAAAAGCCCACCAAGGCGACGAUCAGUAGCUGGUCUGAGAGGACGAUCAGCCACACUGGGACUGAGACACGGCCCAGACUCCUACGGGAGGCAGCAGUGGGGAAUUUUGGACAAUGGGGGCAACCCUGAUCCAGCAAUGCCGCGUGAGUGAAGAAGGCCUUCGGGUUGUAAAGCUCUUUUGUCAGGGAAGAAACACCGGCUCUAACACAGUCUGGGAAUGACGGUACCUGAAGAAUAAGCACCGGCUAACUACGUGCCAGCCGCCGCAGUAA
RNAcentral lists this ribosomal RNA (501 nucleotides) under uncultured bacterium. RNAcentral describes it as "partial 16S ribosomal RNA". It matches the Rfam family "Bacterial small subunit ribosomal RNA", at positions 29 to 523 of the family's 1533-position model. The record is from RNAcentral.